AAUGAACGUUGGCGGCGUGGAUUAGGCAUGCAAGUCGAGCGAGAACCGUAGCAAUACGGGGACAGCGGCGAAAGGGACAGUAAUGUGUAGGUACCUACCCCUGGGUUCGGGAUAGCUGCGGGAAACUGCAGGUAAUACCGAAUAACGUCUACGGACCAAAGGUGUGAUUACACCUGGGGAGGGGCCUGCAUCCUAUUAGCUUGUUGGCGGGGUAAUGGCCCACCAAGGCAACGAUGGGUAGCGGGUGUGAGAGCACGACCCGCGUCAUUGGGACUGAGAUACUGCCCAGACACCUACGGGUGGCUGCAGUCGAGGAUCUUCGGCAAUGGGCGAAAGCCUGACCGAGCGACGCCGCGUGCGGGAUGAAGGCCUUCGGGUUGUAAACCGCUGUCGUAGAGGAGGAAAUGCAGGGGGGUUCUCCCCUUUGCUUGACCUAUUCUAGGAGGAAGUACGGGCUAAGUUCGUGCCAGCAGCCGCCGUAA
This 482-nucleotide ribosomal RNA is filed under the name uncultured bacterium. Its description in RNAcentral is "partial 16S ribosomal RNA". It matches the Rfam family "Bacterial small subunit ribosomal RNA", at positions 29 to 523 of the family's 1533-position model. The record is from RNAcentral.